AACGAACGCUGGCGGCAUGCCUAACACAUGCAAGUCGAACGAGACCUUCGGGUCUAGUGGCUCACGGGUGCGUAACGCGUGGGAACCUGCCCUUAGGUUCGGAAUAACUCCCCGAAAGGGGUGCUAAUACCGGAUAAUGUCCUCGGACCAAAGAUUUAUCGCCUUUGGAUGGGCACGCGUUCGAUUAGCUAGUUGGUAGGGUAAAAGCCUACCAAGGCGACGAUCCAUAGCUGGUCUGAGAGGAUGAUCAGCCACACUGGGACUGAGACACGGCCCAGACUCCUACGGGAGGCAGCAGUGGGGAAUAUUGGACAAUGGGCGAAAGCCUGAUCCAGCAAUGCCGCGUGAGUGAUGAAGGCCUUAGGGUUGUAAAGCUCUUUUACCCGGGAUGAUAAUGACAGUACCGGGAGAAUAAGCUCCGGCUAACUCCGU
Molecule: ribosomal RNA, 432 nt
Filed under: uncultured bacterium
Lineage: Bacteria
Description: partial 16S ribosomal RNA
Rfam family: Bacterial small subunit ribosomal RNA
Source: RNAcentral